UACGUAGGGUGCAAGCGUUAAUCGGAAUUACUGGGCGUAAAGCGUGCGCAGGCGGUUGUGCAAGCCAGAUGUGAAAUCCCCGGGCUUAACCUGGGAAUUGCAUUUGUGACUGCACGGCUAGAGUGUGUCAGAGGGGGGUAGAAUUCCACGUGUAGCAGUGAAAUGCGUAGAUAUGUGGAGGAAUACCGAUGGCGAAGGCAGCCCCCUGGGAUAACACUGACGCUCAUGCACGAAAGCGUGGGGAGCAAACAGG
RNAcentral lists this ribosomal RNA (253 nucleotides) under uncultured bacterium. RNAcentral describes it as "partial 16S ribosomal RNA". It matches the Rfam family "Bacterial small subunit ribosomal RNA", at positions 524 to 776 of the family's 1533-position model. The record is from RNAcentral.